Molecule: ribosomal RNA, 500 nt
Filed under: Vibrio natriegens
Lineage: Bacteria; Pseudomonadati; Pseudomonadota; Gammaproteobacteria; Vibrionales; Vibrionaceae
Description: bacterial SSU rRNA
Rfam family: Bacterial small subunit ribosomal RNA
Source: RNAcentral
GACGGGUGAGUAAUGCCUAGGAAAUUGCCCUGAUGUGGGGGAUAACCAUUGGAAACGAUGGCUAAUACCGCAUGAUGCCUACGGGCCAAAGAGGGGGACCUUCGGGCCUCUCGCGUCAGGAUAUGCCUAGGUGGGAUUAGCUAGUUGGUGAGGUAAGGGCUCACCAAGGCGACGAUCCCUAGCUGGUCUGAGAGGAUGAUCAGCCACACUGGAACUGAGACACGGUCCAGACUCCUACGGGAGGCAGCAGUGGGGAAUAUUGCACAAUGGGCGCAAGCCUGAUGCAGCCAUGCCGCGUGUGUGAAGAAGGCCUUCGGGUUGUAAAGCACUUUCAGUCGUGAGGAAGGUAGUGUAGUUAAUAGCUGCAUUAUUUGACGUUAGCGACAGAAGAAGCACCGGCUAACUCCGUGCCAGCAGCCGCGGUAAUACGGAGGGUGCGAGCGUUAAUCGGAAUUACUGGGCGUAAAGCGCAUGCAGGUGGUUUGUUAAGUCAGAUGUGA